UACGAAGGGGGCUAGCGUUGUUCGGAAUCACUGGGCGUAAAGCGCACGUAGGCGGAUUUUUAAGUCAGGGGUGAAAUCCCGAGGCUCAACCUCGGAACUGCCUUUGAUACUGGGGAUCUGGAGUCCGGGAGAGGUGAGCGGAACUGCGAGUGUAGAGGUGAAAUUCGUAGAUAUUCGCAAGAACACCAGUGGCGAAGGCGGCUCACUGGCCCGAUACUGACGCUGAUGCACGAAAGCGUGGGGAGCAAACAGG
RNAcentral lists this ribosomal RNA (253 nucleotides) under uncultured bacterium. Its description in RNAcentral is "partial 16S ribosomal RNA". It matches the Rfam family "Bacterial small subunit ribosomal RNA", at positions 524 to 776 of the family's 1533-position model. The record is from RNAcentral.